UACAGAGGAUGCAAGCGUUAUCCGGAAUCACUGGGCAUAAAGCGUCUGUAGGUUGUUUAGUAAGUCUGCUGUUAAAUACUAGGGCUUAACCCUAGGCCAGCAGUGGAAACUGCUAGACUUGAGUGUGGUAGAGGUAGAGGGAAUUCCUGGUGUAGCGGUGAAAUGCGUAGAUAUUAGGAAGAACACCAAUGGCGAAAGCACUCUACUGGGCCAUAACUGACACUAAGAGACGACAGCUAGGGGAGCAAAUGGG
This 253-nucleotide ribosomal RNA is filed under the name uncultured bacterium. RNAcentral describes it as "partial 16S ribosomal RNA". It matches the Rfam family "Bacterial small subunit ribosomal RNA", at positions 524 to 776 of the family's 1533-position model. The record is from RNAcentral.